RNAcentral lists this transfer RNA (71 nucleotides) under Orobdella ketagalan. Its description in RNAcentral is "tRNA-Met". The record is from RNAcentral. Lineage: Eukaryota; Metazoa; Annelida; Clitellata; Hirudinida; Orobdellidae.
UGUAGGGUAAGCUAAAAAUAAGCUAGUGGGUUCAUACCCCAAAUAUGAAAUAUUUCUCCUACAAAUUAAUA